This 472-nucleotide ribosomal RNA is filed under the name uncultured bacterium. RNAcentral describes it as "partial 16S ribosomal RNA". It matches the Rfam family "Bacterial small subunit ribosomal RNA", at positions 28 to 507 of the family's 1533-position model. The record is from RNAcentral.
GACGAACGCUGGCGGCGUGCUUAACACAUGCAAGUCGAACGCUGAAGCUUGGUGCUUGCACUGGGUGGAUGAGUGGCGAACGGGUGAGUAAUACGUGAGUAACCUGCCCUUGACUCUGGGAUAAGCCUGGGAAACUGGGUCUAAUACUGGAUACGACAUGCCACUGCAUGGUGGUGUGUGGAAAGGGUUUUACUGGUUUUGGAUGGGCUCACGGCCUAUCAGCUUGUUGGUGGGGUAAUGGCCUACCAAGGCGACGACGGGUAGCCGGCCUGAGAGGGUGAUCGGCCACACUGGGACUGAGACACGGCCCAGACUCCUACGGGAGGCAGCAGUGGGGAAUAUUGCACAAUGGGCGGAAGCCUGAUGCAGCGACGCCGCGUGAGGGAUGACGGCCUUCGGGUUGUAAACCUCUUUCAGCACGGAAGAAGCGAGAGUGACGGUACGUGCAGAAGAAGCGCCGGCUAACUACGUG